UACAGAGACUGCAAGCGUUAUUCGGAUUCACUGGGCGUAAAGGGUGCGCAGGCGGCGAUGUGUGUGAGGCGUGAAAGCCCGAGGCUUAACCUCGGAAUUGCACCUCAAACUACAUCGCUAGAGCAUUGGAGAGGGUAGCAGAAUUCACGGUGUAGCAGUGAAAUGCGUAGAUAUCGUGAGGAAUACCAGAGGCGAAGGCGGCUACCUGGACAAUUGCUGACGCUCAGGCACGAAAGCGUGGGGAGCAAAAGGG
Molecule: ribosomal RNA, 253 nt
Filed under: uncultured bacterium
Lineage: Bacteria
Description: partial 16S ribosomal RNA
Rfam family: Bacterial small subunit ribosomal RNA
Source: RNAcentral